Molecule: long non-coding RNA, 940 nt
Organism: Culex quinquefasciatus (southern house mosquito)
Lineage: Eukaryota; Metazoa; Arthropoda; Insecta; Diptera; Culicidae
Exons: 3
Source: RefSeq, a predicted model, not a curated record
UCAAGAUGAUCAAGAAGGACAUGGUUUGUUUACAAACAAAAGUGAACGAGUUGAAAUUAUUGUAGAUUUUCUUGUGUAUUCUAAAAAAUCCCAGAAAUAAAUCAGGGUUAACCAGUUGUAAUGCGGCCAAAAAAUUAUCACAAGAAGCGACAACUUCUAGCCAGUACAUUUUUAUAAGAUACUGAUCGCGCCGACUGAGCAGCAACCGUAACUGUUACAUCAUCCGGAACGGCAACCGAAACCGGUUGAGGAAACCCCCCAGAGGCAAUUCAAUCAAUCUGAAAAGGAUAUUAGGAGGCGCGACAGCGUCAGGCAAAGGUGCUUUUUCCGACCAAAGAGAUACGGAUUGACUAGCAACACGUUUCUGCAGGAAAGAUCCGUCCGGGAAGCGCCGCAAGUAACAGCAGCAAAGCGGUGAAACACGGUCACGAGGAACUGCGACAGUGUAGAAGACGUUUCGUAUCUAAAACUAGAUGCGGACAUGCGCGAGCCGCGCGAGCAAACGGGAGAAGUCGUUUCGUCAGCGGCCCGUACAUCUUUGGCUGGCUGCUCGAGAAAGCUCUACAGCUCCAAAAAAAAAAACGACAAAAGCUGUUCUUUUCGGAUAAUUGGUGUAACCGGUGUCCGGACCUUUCAUUGAUUGGGGACAGCUCCGAUGAUUACGGCGAAAAUGUCAAAACUAAAAGCAUAAGGAGCAACAAUAGGAAGACAACUGGGCAAAUUAGGCAAAUAUUGUCAGCUUUCAAAAAGCGCAAAUCGCAGAACGACGGUAUCGUAAAGUCGGCGGACCAGUCACCGAAGCGGGCCAAGAACAGGAAAACAACUAGCGAACGGUUUUGACUCCGCGUCGGAUGAUGAUAGAAUGGAGUUAAUUCAUAUUUCGAAGUGAGUAUGUUUCCAGUAUUCAAUUUUAGAUUUUCUAGUAACAAUUUGAAGAAAG